AUCCAGACUCCUACGGGAGGCAGCAGUGGGGAAUAUUGGGCAAUGGGCGCAAGCCUGACCCAGCAACGCCGCGUGAAGGAAGAAGGCUUUCGGGUUGUAAACUUCUUUUAAGAGGGAAGAGUAGAAGACGGUACCUCUUGAAUAAGCCACGGCUAACUACGUGCCAGCAGCCGCGGUAAUACGUAGGUGGCAAGCGUUGUCCGGAUUUACUGGGUGUAAAGGGCGUGUAGCCGGGUUGACAAGUCAGAUGUGAAAUCCUGCGGCUUAACCGCAGAACUGCAUUUGAAACUGUUGAUCUUGGGUACUGGAGAGGCAGACGGAAUUCCUUGUGUAGCGGUGAAAUGCGUAGAUAUAAGGAAGAACACCAGUGGCGAAGGCGGAUGACUGGACGGCAACUGACGGUGAGGCGCGAAAGCGUGGGUAUCGAACAGGAUUAGAUACCCGUGUA
This 448-nucleotide ribosomal RNA is filed under the name uncultured bacterium. RNAcentral's name for it is "partial 16S ribosomal RNA". It matches the Rfam family "Bacterial small subunit ribosomal RNA", at positions 329 to 792 of the family's 1533-position model. The record is from RNAcentral.